GAUGAACGCUGGCGGCGUGCCUAAUACAUGCAAGUCGAUCGAACAGACGAGGAGCUUGCUCCUCUGACGUUAGCGGCGGACGGGUGAGUAAAACGUGGUUAACCUACCUAUAAGACUGGGAUAACUUCGGGAAACCGGAGCUAAUACCGGAUAAUAUAUUGAACCGCAUGGUUCAAUAGUGAAAGACGGUUCUGCUGACACUUACAGAUGGAUCGGCGCUUCAUUAGCUAGUUGGUAAGGUAACGGCUUACCAAGGCAACGAUGCGUAGCCGACCUGAGAGAGUGAUCGGCCACACUGGAACUGAGACACGGUCCAGACUCCUACGGGAGGCAGCAGUAGGGAAUCUUCCGCAAUGGGCGAAAGCCUGACGGAGCAACGCCGCGUGAGUGAUGAAGGUCUUCGGAUCGUAAAAAUCUGUUAUUAGGGAAGAACAAAUGUGUAAGUAACUAUGCACAUAUUGACGGUACCUAGUCAGAAAGCCACGGCUAACUACGUG
This 497-nucleotide ribosomal RNA is filed under the name uncultured bacterium. RNAcentral describes it as "partial 16S ribosomal RNA". It matches the Rfam family "Bacterial small subunit ribosomal RNA", at positions 28 to 507 of the family's 1533-position model. The record is from RNAcentral.